GAUGCUACGAUGAUCAAGAGGAGUACAUGAGAAACGAAGGUUAAGAGAGAAGAUGCUCGGCUGAAACAUUUUCACUUUGGCUCAUGGAAGGUAGCUUGGGAGUUUUGCGAUCUGAAGCAAGUAAGAGCGCACGGCACAUGACCGUUAUACAUGUUUGAGCGGCAGAUGAAUAUUCUGCAAUUUAGGUGGUACCGCGUAAUUUACGUCCUAGAA
This 213-nucleotide non-coding RNA is filed under the name Enterococcus gilvus. RNAcentral describes it as "T-box sequence". It matches the Rfam family "T-box leader". Rfam says of the family: Uncharged tRNA acts as the effector for transcription antitermination of genes in the T-box leader family. T-boxes are found upstream of many aminoacyl-tRNA synthetase genes and some amino acid biosynthetic genes usually in Gram-positive bacteria. The record is from RNAcentral. Lineage: Bacteria; Bacillati; Bacillota; Bacilli; Lactobacillales; Enterococcaceae.